Molecule: long non-coding RNA, 253 nt
Filed under: Elaeis guineensis (African oil palm)
Lineage: Eukaryota; Viridiplantae; Streptophyta; Magnoliopsida; Arecales; Arecaceae
Description: long non-coding RNA (EGUI_LNC029062)
Source: RNAcentral
CCCGAUCCACCUCCACCUGGAGCUUCAUCUCUUACUGAGCUCCUCCUGGCUCCCAAAGCUCCACCUUGCUCUGGGCUCCCCGUCAGGUAAUAAUGUCCUCUGCUCUCUUUCUUCCCCUCCAGUACAAUCCUAUCGCCGUAUAGCACCCUCAGGAUUCCUCCAUCAGCUACCGUCCUGUAGCCUCUCGAAUUCAGUCUGUUAAGUGAGAUAAGAUUCCGUCUGAAAUCGAAUAUGUACCGGACCUCCUUCAAUC